ACACCUCGAUCAGUGCGACAUGGGACGUUGUUGUGUUCCCGGAUGCCGCGGCAAUUAUGACAGUGGUCCGAAAGUGCGUGUUUUCGCAUUCCCCAAGGAUGAAGCGCCGAAGAAGUCAUGGAUAAAAGCCAUUCCGCGAAAGGAUUUCACACCAAGCAUACACUCCAAGGUCUGCGAACUCCACUUCCUCGAGGCUGACUUCAUCAGAAAGCUGUCACAUUUCGACGCAGCGUCGGGAAGGACUUUGCAGCAGCGUACUCGUUCUGAAGAGCAGGAACAUAGAUGUGGAAGCUAACACAAUGAAUGACAGCUUGUCAAGAGGAAGCUUAAAGCUUCCGCAGCCAUGUACUGUGCACAUGAUGCUGGUGACAACGCUUGUUGUCGAAAAGCUCACACCAAGGGAGAAAAUGCAAAGGCGUUCCUCGCGUCGAACAACCAACGAGGCAUUGUCAGCUCCAUUUCCACAUCACUGCUAGGAGAUGUUGAGCUAAAGACUUGUGAAAAUGGCCAUACCUCUGAGACUAUCGUGCGGCAUGUAGUGCGUGUUGCAACAAAUGUCGCUUUGAACAACUUUUGUAGACUUCGAAACGACACCAUCCAAAG
Long non-coding RNA from Rhipicephalus sanguineus (brown dog tick), 603 nucleotides. RefSeq lists it as uncharacterized. Lineage: Eukaryota; Metazoa; Arthropoda; Arachnida; Ixodida; Ixodidae. The record is from RefSeq and is a predicted model, not a curated record. The transcript has 2 exons.